UGGGGUAUAGUUCAAUGGCAGAGUGCAUGCUUGGCACGUAUGAGGCCCUGGGUUCAGUCCCCAGCACAGUAA
This 72-nucleotide transfer RNA is filed under the name Heterocephalus glaber (naked mole-rat). It matches the Rfam family "tRNA". Rfam says of the family: Transfer RNA (tRNA) molecules are approximately 80 nucleotides in length. Their secondary structure includes four short double-helical elements and three loops (D, anti-codon, and T loops). Further hydrogen bonds mediate the characteristic L-shaped molecular structure. tRNAs have two regions of fundamental functional importance: the anti-codon, which is responsible for specific mRNA codon recognition, and the 3' end, to which the tRNAs corresponding amino acid is attached (by aminoacyl-tRNA synthetases). tRNAs cope with the degeneracy of the genetic code in two manners: having more than one tRNA (with a specific anti-codon) for a particular amino acid; and 'wobble' base-pairing, i.e. permitting non-standard base-pairing at the 3rd anti-codon position. The record is from Rfam by way of RNAcentral. Lineage: Eukaryota; Metazoa; Chordata; Mammalia; Rodentia; Bathyergidae.